RNAcentral lists this ribosomal RNA (283 nucleotides) under uncultured Pseudomonas sp. Its description in RNAcentral is "partial 16S ribosomal RNA". It matches the Rfam family "Bacterial small subunit ribosomal RNA", at positions 201 to 474 of the family's 1533-position model. The record is from RNAcentral. Lineage: Bacteria; Pseudomonadati; Pseudomonadota; Gammaproteobacteria; Pseudomonadales; Pseudomonadaceae.
AGAAAGCGGGGGAUCUUCGGACCUCGCGCUAUCGGAUGAGCCUAGGUCGGAUUAGCUAGUUGGUGGGGUAAAGGCUCACCAAGGCGACGAUCCGUAGCUGGUCUGAGAGGAUGAUCAGCCACACUGGAACUGAGACACGGUCCAGACUCCUACGGGAGGCAGCAGUGGGGAAUAUUGGACAAUGGGCGAAAGCCUGAUCCAGCCAUGCCGCGUGUGUGAAGAAGGUCUUCGGAUUGUAAAGCACUUUAAGUUGGGAGGAAGGGUUGUAACCUAAUACGUUGCA